GAUACCAGGGUCAAAAGGUCAUGCGUUUCAUGCAAGCAUGAAAAAGCGUGACUUUGGGACCCGUAAAACAUGAGAAAGCAGCCCGAUUAGGGCGGAUUUCAAAUGUUUUAGGAUUGCGGGAGCAUGAAAAUGCGGAGCAAUCCGUAGGUAUC
Molecule: small RNA, 152 nt
Filed under: Extibacter muris
Lineage: Bacteria; Bacillati; Bacillota; Clostridia; Lachnospirales; Lachnospiraceae
Description: Clostridiales-1 RNA
Rfam family: Clostridiales-1 RNA
Source: RNAcentral